Brassica napus (rape) is the source of this 1674-nucleotide long non-coding RNA. RefSeq lists it as uncharacterized. The transcript is spliced from 2 exons. NCBI's taxonomy places the organism in Eukaryota, Viridiplantae, Streptophyta, Magnoliopsida, Brassicales, Brassicaceae. The record is from RefSeq and is a predicted model, not a curated record.
UAAAUUAUAUAAUUUAUUUAUUAGAUAUUAAAACUUUAAUUAGACAAAUUAAAAUUAAAAUUGUUUAAUGAAUAAGCCUAAAAUUACGGAGAACAUAGCAAAUAAGCAAAUUCUCAAAUAAUAAUAUAGAUAACUUUAAAAUUUCUGUAGGCCCAUUAAAUUAAAUGGGUUUUUAUAGAUCGGCUCUGCUCAAGAAAACAUAAAGAGCCCACCAGCAUACGACCCAAGACAAUUAGGGUUUUCAUAUCUCCUCCAUCCUAGUUGUCAAACUGGUGUGUAAGAAGAAUGUAGCCGUCUCUAUCUUUUCUUACGUUUAAUGAGGGAUUGUUUGUUAUGUAUUUUCUCCCGCAUUAUAUAUUCUUGUUCUGUGAUUUGGAAUUUAUGAUAUAAUUGCGAAUGUUUUCGUCUUAAUAUUUUUUCAAUAAAGAAAGUGGCGAUGAUGAAAAAAAGGCCGGACUUACGGCUGCUACCACUCUCUUACGGAUGUUUAAGUGGGUGUUGUAGUAGAAUGAUGCUAAAGUUUCCAAAGGUUACUUCGCUGAGCCUCCUCUCUUCUCUUUCUGAAAAUUAUUAGCCCAUUUUUAUUCUUCUGAAGUUUUUUUUUCUAAAUCAAAAGCAAAAAUGCUUAAUGAAAUUAUUAGUGAAUAUAUAGACUUGUUUUAUACAACAUAAUAAGUCAGACUAAUUUACUUGAGUCGAGGCCAUGCAAUAUGUUCUUCUCGAUCUUAAUCAAAGCAAUCUGAUAAUUAAUAUGCUCGAGCUGGGGAAAAUCUUUGUCGGUUACUCGGGUUCGUUCUUGUGGGUUUUGGCCUCUGUUGUUGAUAUCGUCAUGGAUUCUUAUCUAGUUCAAUAAAUAUUCCACUAUUCACUUUAAGUGUUACCAAUCAUGAAUCAUAGAAACAAAGUCUAAUGGCUAUCUUAAUGGUGUUAUGUUUUUAAUUGUAGCCCUUUGCUCAGAUGUAUUUGAUUUUGAGAUUUUUUUAUAGGUUUAGAACUUGAAUUUCUGAUGUUUUGCAGUAAAGAAUCCUUUUACUCGUGUUUGCUUUUAGACAGCAUUUUUGCCGGCCUGUGACUGACCGAGUGCAGAAGCCGUACUUCGGCUUUAGCUCAAAAGAUGGGGUCUAAUCACUGGACUGAGGAUACCUUAUGACUGCGUUUCUCGUCAUGGUUUUAAAAGUUGUAGUUACCUUGGUUGCUGUUGACAUGACUUGAACAGAGGCUCAUAUUUAUGAUGAAAGAUGCGUCAACAACGGUGCAAAUUACAGGGCGAGGAGUUGCGCUCGUUGGUUUGUUGUUCUAUGUCUAUGGUAGCUUAUCACUUGUCUAAUGUGCCUCGUUACUUCGAGGACUAUAGCUGAAAACUACUACAUGAAGAGUGUUAGUGAAUGUUACAUGACAUUUGGGUGGUCAUGACUCAUUUCUUAUGUUCGGCUUUGGUCUGUGCCACUGACAGUGACGCACAGUUUCACCAAUGUGUCGACUAUACUGCAUUUCUGCUUAUCUUCUCUGCAUGAUGCAUCUGUUGUUACUUGUUGGUUGUUACACUGUUCAAUAAUGCACAAAUCUUGAUCUCUGUUAGUUUUCCAUUAACCUUGUAAACAAAUUUGUUCAUCCGGUCAUAUAGAAAAAGUUGACUUCAUAAACGAAAUGAUAUAUUCUUUUUUUGUUGCAAAA